AGAAGCAGAGGACGGAACGGGCAGCCGUCGCCGGAGGGUCGCAAGACCCGAGUAGGAGAUGCAGGAAUCGCCACCCUGCCUAUUCU
This 86-nucleotide non-coding RNA is filed under the name unclassified sequences. The record is from Rfam.